This 248-nucleotide unclassified non-coding RNA is filed under the name Hevea brasiliensis (rubber tree). The record is from RNAcentral. Lineage: Eukaryota; Viridiplantae; Streptophyta; Magnoliopsida; Malpighiales; Euphorbiaceae.
UUGAAAUUGAAAUUGGAAAGCAACUAAAACUGAGUAAUUUGGCUGACAAUAUAUCCAAUUUAUAUCCAACAGAGUGAGAAUAAUAUAUCCAAUUCGUAUCUACGAAGGAAAGCUCUGGAACUCUCACCAUGCCAAGACAGUGAGAAGGAAGCAAAUUUCCGAUUUUACGUUGUCUCGCCUCCCAAUCCAAGUUAUAGUAGAGCCACCCUAACUGCAAAUCCUAUUGGUUCCAUAGAAGGAAAUGACUA